Pleuronectes platessa (European plaice) is the source of this 626-nucleotide long non-coding RNA. RefSeq lists it as uncharacterized. Lineage: Eukaryota; Metazoa; Chordata; Actinopteri; Pleuronectiformes; Pleuronectidae. The record is from RefSeq and is a predicted model, not a curated record. The transcript is spliced from 4 exons.
CUACAACGGUGGUUGUACAUGUGUCUGUGUGUGUCUGUGAGUGUGUGUCAUUGUUCUAAGUAAAGACCCAACACCUGCUGCACAGGAUUAACUUCACAGAGACAAUGGAGAGACACAGGACACAGUCUGAUCCUUUGCGGAGGUGAACCAAUGUGUGUGAUGUAGUAAACCUAGGUGUUGUGGGAAAGAGAACGUCCCCUCAUCUCUCUUCAAUGGAAAGGACCGGCCAGCUGGUUACCAGCCAGACAACGAGGCAAACGACCAGUGAGCUCCCCACACCAGUUCAGAGUGGAGGCACUGGUCCUUUGGAAAGAAGGCUCCUUUGAUGACUUCUAUGUCAUCGAAAGCUACUUUGAUGAUGUUGAAGACUCAACUUUGAUGUCAUCAAAGCAGCCUUCUUCAUUUAGGAGAGCUGGAUCCCAGGAACAUCUCCAGCUUGAUCCCGUGGAACAUAGUCCAGGUCCUCAGCGUCCGAGAUUUCAGACUCAGAAUCAAGACCAGGAAUUGCCUCCUCAUCUUCCUCAUCCUGUUCUUUAUGCAGCAUCUUUAUGAACAUUAAACCUUGGCUUUGAUGUCACAGUGUCAGUGGUCUUGGAUUCCUUUGAUGUCGUAGACUGUUGCGAAGG